Argiope bruennichi is the source of this 248-nucleotide long non-coding RNA. RefSeq lists it as uncharacterized. The transcript is spliced from 2 exons. The record is from RefSeq and is a predicted model, not a curated record. NCBI's taxonomy places the organism in Eukaryota, Metazoa, Arthropoda, Arachnida, Araneae, Araneidae.
CCCUUCUUGCACUGAUCGACGACAGUGUCAUUGACUGGAUCCUUGUUCUUCUCUAACCAGCCGGUUAUAUUGUAAGGAACCUUUGGAGAAAAAAGAGCAACGUUUCAAGAAUACUUGAAGUGAAAAUGACGCAUCCCUAAACCACUUACAGUUCCAGCGUAAUGAGCGAUGGCAAAGUGAGCCUCCUGUUGUCCGGGCUUUGGUGGUCUGGGCUUGACGAAGUUGGGAGACUUGCCCAAGUGGUUGGA